AUACAUGCAAGUCGAGCGGUCCUUCGGGACAGCGGCGAACGGGUUAGUAACGCGUGGGAACGUGCCCUUUAGUACGGAAUAGCCAUUGGAAACGAUGAUUAAUACCGUAUACGCCCCAAGGGGGAAAGAUUUAUCGCUAAAGGAUCGGCCCGCGUUAGAUUAGGUAGUUGGUAGGGUAAUGGCCUACCAAGCCGACGAUCUAUAGCUGGUUUGAGAGGAUGAUCAGCAACACUGGGACUGAGACACGGCCCAGACUUCUACGGAAGGCAGCAGUAGGGAAUCUUGGACAAUGGGCGAAAGCCUGAUCCAGCCAUGCCGCGUGAGUGAUGAAGGCCCUAGGGUUGUAAAGCUCUUUCGCCAGGGAAGAUAAUGACGGUACC
Molecule: ribosomal RNA, 380 nt
Filed under: uncultured Alphaproteobacteria bacterium
Lineage: Bacteria; Pseudomonadati; Pseudomonadota; Alphaproteobacteria
Description: bacterial SSU rRNA
Rfam family: Bacterial small subunit ribosomal RNA
Source: RNAcentral